RNAcentral lists this long non-coding RNA (1342 nucleotides) under Trifolium pratense (red clover). Its description in RNAcentral is "long non-coding RNA (TPRA_LNC001930)". The record is from RNAcentral. Lineage: Eukaryota; Viridiplantae; Streptophyta; Magnoliopsida; Fabales; Fabaceae.
CUCACCGUCUUACAACAAUUCGAGGGGCUGAUACUAUAGCAGUAAUUAAAAAUGGGGUGGUUGCUGAAAAGGGAACACAUGAUGUGUUGAUGAAGAUUACUGAUGGUGUUUAUGCUUCAUUAGUAACUCUUCAUUCAAGUGCAUCAUAAAGAUAUUUCUAUUUUGUACUUCCAACCUAACCAUUCAAUAAUUUUGCUUGUCCGUUCAAAGGGUGAGGAUUUAUUCUUCUCUCCUGUUCAUACUUCUAUCUCAUUCACGUUUUGCAGCUCUCUUUUUCUUCUUCUUUAUUGUUGCUUUUGUAAAUUUUCUUUAUUUAGUUCUUGUUCGCGAGUUUUGUUACUUUUCCGACUCUAAAUAUAAACAUUCUGAUUGUGUGUUAGGAUCUAUGAAGACUGUAGUAUAUAUGGAUGAUCCUUAAAACAGCAAUAUGAUGUGUUCAUAAAAAACCUCUUCUAUGUUGGAAGAAUCAAAGUUAUAUCUAGGGCAAAACGCAGAGACCAAGAAGACAGAAAGGGUUUGUUUGAGGCAAAUUGCAAGCUUAAAUGAUUUUAGGAAUUGGUAGAACUAGUUUUGUUAUUUCUGUUGAGUAAUCUAUCAUUUUUUUUUUUACAGCAAACUUCUCAUUCAAUCAAUCAUUACAGAUUCAUUACAAAUGAUAGAAGAAAUUGGUAUUGAUUUAUUCAUUUUUAACUUCUUAGAGGUAGUAGUAGUAAAACUAGAAUCUAAUUGUAAAACGAUAUUGAUAUUGAUUUAUUCAUUUUAGUUUUAAGAAAAUUUGAUCCAAACUUGAGUGAGUCUUUCAUUUAUUUGUUUGUUUAUUUAUUGGAGUGUGGCAGUGGGUGUGACCCUAGCAUUACUCCAAAUAUGACAUCAAAUUUGGAAUUGCAUAGAUUUUUAAUUUUUGCUGAGGUUUCAACUCCUAAAUUAUUUAAGCUAGAGAUCGAUGAAGACAAAUCUAGAAAUGGAAAAUAAAACUGAAUAGAUUUAUUACCUAUUUACCAAUUCCGCCCAUUCCCAAAGUUAUUCUAGAAAUGUGUUGGUGAGCCUCCUACCGGAGCUUGAACCGGUGUUGUGAUCUCGGUCUCGUCUGGAGGUUCUUUCAUACUUGAGAAGAAAGAGUAAGAUUUAACAGGGUGAGCGGGAUAGAAAUGGGAGAUGAAGUUGAACUAGAGAGAGAGGGAUUGAAAGAUAUGUGAGAUUAAGAAAUAAAGAAAAAAAAUAUGUUUGCGAGGAAAGGAAUGAGUUAAGGUGUUGAACAAUAGGGAAUAAUAAUAUAUGUAUUUGUAGGCAGAGUGUUAUUCUUGAGAGUGAAAGACAAAGAAGAAUAGAAGAUAGAUCUAUA